Trichosurus vulpecula (common brushtail) is the source of this 2379-nucleotide long non-coding RNA. RefSeq lists it as uncharacterized. The transcript has 4 exons. NCBI's taxonomy places the organism in Eukaryota, Metazoa, Chordata, Mammalia, Diprotodontia, Phalangeridae. The record is from RefSeq and is a predicted model, not a curated record.
GGGACUAUACAAGGCGCCUGCGCUAGAUCCUGUUCUCGGCGCCAUUUUGUCUCGGCAGCAGUGGCGGUAGCUCUUUCCCAUUUUAAGCCUCUCGAAGAGGGGAGCUGAGUCUUUACCUGGUUGAUUCGUUCUCAUGGACUGGACGUUCACCUUCCGUCCCGGUUUCACUGUAAGGAUCUGUAGAUCGAGUGAACUUCAGAAAGUGAUUCAACGCUGUUGCAGAGAUUUUUCCUGAUGUUUUGUGGGGGAAAAUCAUCAAAGGCUUUUAACCCUUAGGUCUGCAUCUGUUUUCUUACUGUUUCUUGGAAUAUUUCUGAUUCUGUUCCCUAAAAGGCCAAAACUGUGAGCUUUUUUUCUUAAUGUGAAAAACAUGAAAAGAAAAUUGUAAGAACAGAAAUUAUGGUGGAGCAUCAAAGCCAGCAGAACCAGAAUUUUGAAUCUGUUGAAUGACCAAUCAUUGAAGAAAACCAUGAUGUUUUUUAAAGGAAGAAAUAGAUGAUCUUGUACUUAAAGAUAGUUGUCAUGAAAAAGGAGCAUUUAUCUUUUCAGAAAAGUAUAAAGGCUUGAAAUGAAAGAAGGUAAAUUAAGAUGUAAGGCUUGUUAAACAGUUCAACAUUUAGGAGUGACAGCAGGAAGCAUGUCCAUGUAUGCAAGGAACGGAGUGUAUAUUUAGCAAUUCCAAAAGGCAAAAUUAUUUAGGCAAGCUUCUCUGUAGGGGAAAAAAAUUAGGGAACACAAUUAUUUCUAAAGCCCCCACUAUAAAAGACUUACGAAAAGAUUCUAUCAAGUUUUUAGUACUAUUUACAAUGUACUAAAGUGUGAUAGACCUGUAACGGGGAGCAAAAGAAUAAUUACAAGAAAAAAAUCUAACAGCUACAGGCAGUUGUUUUACCUACAUAACGUAACACAACACACAGUGCACAAUGCACAGAACACUGGGCCUAGAGUCAGGAAGACCUGAAUUUAAAUUCCACCUCAUACACUUAGCUAGCUGUGUGAAGACCCCAGGCAAAUCCUUUAGUUUAUCUCCUCAUCUGUAAAAUAAGGACAAUAAUAACAUCUACUUCCAAGGGUCGUUGUGAAGAUAGAGUUAAUAAUAUUCUAGGGAAAAAACCCCACAAAAAUCUGUAUCAUAAUUGAUGAGACAAAUGGAAUUUCAAAGAAAAGCACUGAAGAGAUUUCAGUCAGCUCAUUUCAGUCAGCUACUGCACAGAUGUUUUAAAAGAAUUUAUUGUUUUAAAAGAAUUUGUAUUUUCAAAUACACUAUUAUUAAAGCCAUAUUCAUUUAAGGUAGACAAUACGUACUUGAAAGUAAAACUUAACUGCAUUUUGAUCAUGAUGGUGCUCAUACAAUGCUGGCAAAUAAAGUUGCUAGAAAAUUUCCCAUAAAAUGAGUGGAUUUAAAAAAUAUUUUUGGAUAAAAUUCAUUCUAUUUAUCACCAAUCUGAUAAAUCAGAUUUAUAAUUUUAAAACAUUGAAAUUAAGAUUGGGGUAGGGCAGCAUGUAAUUUACUAGCUACUGCUACAUGGUGUAAACAUACUACAUUUUACUUGCAUUUUUCUCUUUUUUUAUUCUGGUUUGGCAGAUUCGUUGCCUUACAUUAAUUUCUUGCAAAAUCUUCAGUAAUUUACAUUCUUGAGCAGUUAUUACUUUCAACUGCAUUGUAAAUAAAUUUAGAAAGUGCAAAAAUUAACGUGCACCAUAAGAAUUUUGGAAAAAGUUAAAGUUGGUACUGGAAAGCACGAAUCUCAAGUUGAAGACUUAAUUCAGGUAAGUUGUAAAGGCAAUUUUUCAUUUUAAUUUCAUAAACAUAAUAAAUUUAAUGCCCUUCCUAGGAAUGUUACUUGAAAAUCAUUCAACAGAUGAGCUUAAAUCUUUUACUGAACAGAAAUGAUGGAAGCAUUUUAAAUUACUUUUUAUUUAUUAGAACCAUUAGAAAAACUUAUUUCAGCAUGAAUAGCUGGUGGGAAAAAAAUUAAAUUUGAAAAUAGGAAAUUGAUUUGAAUAGCUUUGGGGAUUUUGUAGAUGUAGAAUUAAGAUAGUGUUCCAAUCCCUGCAACUACACAGAAAGCUAAAAGGAGUUCUGUUGCAGUCAGUAGUGAAGUUGAAAGAUGUUGAUAAAUAAUUCAACAGUAAAUCACAUCAAAUUUAUUGACAGAUUUUUGGGGGGAAAGGAUUAAUGGAUUUGGAUGGAAAUUCAUUCUUAAAUCCUGAUAUAGCUACAGGUUGACAUGUGAGUUGGGCAAAAAAAAAAAAAUCGAAACCCAUGAAAAUCAGUUGGCUUUAUGAACUUUACAAUAAAGAGUAUAUUGUAUUUUAUUUGGAAAUUUUGUGUUACACGUCUUUUAUACUGGUUUUGAAAUAAAAUAGAAUUCUCUA